UCUAAGUUUGAUGGCGACCGGCGCACGGGUGAGUAACACGUAUCCAACCUGCCGAUGACUCGGGGAUAGCCUUUCGAAAGAAAGAUUAAUACCCGAUGGCAUAGUUCUUCCGCAUGGUAGAACUAUUAAAGAAUUUCGGUCAUCGAUGGGGAUGCGUUCCAUUAGGUUGUUGGCGGGGUAACGGCCCACCAAGCCUUCGAUGGAUAGGGGUUCUGAGAGGAAGGUCCCCCACAUUGGAACUGAGGCACGGUCCAAACUCCUACGGGAGGCAGCAUG
This 276-nucleotide ribosomal RNA is filed under the name uncultured bacterium. Its description in RNAcentral is "partial 16S ribosomal RNA". It matches the Rfam family "Bacterial small subunit ribosomal RNA", at positions 78 to 353 of the family's 1533-position model. The record is from RNAcentral.